RNAcentral lists this ribosomal RNA (484 nucleotides) under uncultured bacterium. RNAcentral's name for it is "partial 16S ribosomal RNA". It matches the Rfam family "Bacterial small subunit ribosomal RNA", at positions 30 to 507 of the family's 1533-position model. The record is from RNAcentral.
AUUGAACGCUGGCGGCAGGCCUAACACAUGCAAGUCGAGCGGAUGAAGGGAGCUUGCUCCUGGAUUCAGCGGCGGACGGGUGAGUAAUGCCUAGGAAUCUGCCUGGUAGUGGGGGAUAACGUCCGGAAACGGGCGCUAAUACCGCAUACGUCCUGAGGGAGAAAGUGGGGGAUCUUCGGACCUCACGCUAUCAGAUGAGCCUAGGUCGGAUUAGCUAGUUGGUGGGGUAAAGGCCUACCAAGGCGACGAUCCGUAACUGGUCUGAGAGGAUGAUCAGUCACACUGGAACUGAGACACGGUCCAGACUCCUACGGGAGGCAGCAGUGGGGAAUCUUGGACAAUGGGCGAAAGCCUGAUCCAGCCAUGCCGCGUGUGUGAAGAAGGUCUUCGGAUUGUAAAGCUCUUUUAGUUGGGAGGAAGGGCAGUAAGUUAAUACCUUGCUGUUUUGACGUUACCAACAGAAUAAGCACCGGCUAACUUCGUG